UACACCAUGAUAACCUCCUGGAUAAAAUCGAUAAAACACUGGCACUUCAUAUAACUCUAACAAGCGUACAAACUCCUUUGACCGAUCAAUCAAUGGGUCUCCUUCAUCAUCUUUAACAAACCAUCUUGGCACACGUUUGACUCUAUCGAACCCAUGAAUAAACGGAUUGGAGAAUUUGUGAUCUCGAUUUGCUUGGAAUGGCAAUGACAAUGUCCAAUAGGCAUCAUUUACGUACAAAGGUAGGUAAGUAUCUUCUAUAAGUCUGAGCUCUGAUGAAGUCCUUUUGACUCCACCAAAAAAUGCCUGAUCCAAUAUCACGCCUUGGAUUGUCAUUGGUUGAAGAUUAUGCGUUGUUGCACGAAGGACUG
This 368-nucleotide long non-coding RNA is filed under the name Olea europaea (common olive). RNAcentral's name for it is "long non-coding RNA (OEUR_LNC005898)". Lineage: Eukaryota; Viridiplantae; Streptophyta; Magnoliopsida; Lamiales; Oleaceae. The record is from RNAcentral.